Non-coding RNA from Oryza meridionalis, 208 nucleotides. Lineage: Eukaryota; Viridiplantae; Streptophyta; Magnoliopsida; Poales; Poaceae. The record is from Rfam.
UUUAAGUGCAACUAUAAGUUUCCGUACUCAACUUUGAUCAUCCAUCUUAUUUAAAUUUAUUUUUUUAAUAGUAAGUAGUAUUUUUAUUGUUACGAGAUAAUAAAAUAUAAAUAGUAUUUUAUGUGUAACUUAUAUUUUUAUUUUUUAAAAAAAAUUAGAUAAGAUGUACCAUCAAAAUUUGGCACGGAAAAUAGGCGGAGGGAGUAGC